AAACUUAGCCCCAAUGGAAGAUACUGUGAUCUCAGAGGUAGCUUUCCCAGAGUGAGGCUCAUCCAUUGCACUGCACAUACGCUGUCCCUUAUGAGUUUCCAAAAUUUUGGGGAAUUGCAUAAUUAGUGAUAGUGGGGGGGGGGGGCUGUGUUCCUAUCUUCCCUUU
Molecule: small nuclear RNA, 166 nt
Filed under: Microtus ochrogaster (prairie vole)
Lineage: Eukaryota; Metazoa; Chordata; Mammalia; Rodentia; Cricetidae
Description: U1 spliceosomal RNA (ENSMOCG00000006630.1)
Source: RNAcentral